AGUAUUGUGAUGACAGGGACAGUACCAACGCUAUCUUACCCCCAGAGAGCCGGCUAGGGUGAAAACCGGCGGAAGAUGGUUUGGGAAAGCCACCCUUGAGCUGUAGGCUGAAAUCAAGUAAGCUUUUACCGUUACCUGGCGUUAACAGGCAAAGUGAGCCUUUAUGGCUAAGCUAGGUGGUACCGCGGGAAUUAUAAUCUCGUCCUUUUU
Molecule: non-coding RNA, 210 nt
Filed under: Sporomusa malonica
Lineage: Bacteria; Bacillati; Bacillota; Negativicutes; Selenomonadales; Sporomusaceae
Description: T-box sequence
Rfam family: T-box leader
About the family: Uncharged tRNA acts as the effector for transcription antitermination of genes in the T-box leader family. T-boxes are found upstream of many aminoacyl-tRNA synthetase genes and some amino acid biosynthetic genes usually in Gram-positive bacteria. The anticodon of a specific tRNA base pairs to a specifier sequence within the T-box motif, and the NCCA acceptor tail of the tRNA base pairs to a conserved bulge in the T-box antiterminator hairpin.
Source: RNAcentral